RNAcentral lists this long non-coding RNA (1048 nucleotides) under Homo sapiens (human). RNAcentral describes it as "non-protein coding lnc-MUC4-3:3". Lineage: Eukaryota; Metazoa; Chordata; Mammalia; Primates; Hominidae. The record is from RNAcentral.
GUGGUGACCUCCGUGGCCGGCCUGUCGGCCCAGGACAUCAGCCAGCCCCUGCAGAACAGCUUCAUCCACACAGGGCAUGGCGACAGUGACCCCCGCCACUGCUGGGGCUUCCCGGACAGGAUUGACGAGACACCCCCCAGCUGAGACGUGCGGUCAGGUUCUGUGGACUGGGAGGCGGGAGGCCUGUGCUUCAGACCCAAGACUACACCCGGUUUCCUCCAGGACGAAGGGGCUCUGAUGAGAUUCUGCCACCCCUCCACACGCUUCCCCUGCUCUCUUGACCCAGCUCUCUCCCCCACAGACUGUAUCUGGGAAACCCCAUGGACCCCCCCGACCUCCUGAGCGUGGAACUGAGCACCUCCCGGCCCCCCCAGCAUCUAGGAGGGGUGAAAAGUAAGAGCCCCUCUGCUCCCUGGUGUCCCUAACUCAUCGGCUACUCAGGAAGGGGCACUGUCUUCACAGGCCACCCUAAGGCUGCUGUUCUGUUUUUGGGGACAGUGGGGUCAGGGCAGCAGGCGGGACAGCUGUGUCCCUGGCUCCGGCUGGGCGUGGGGUGGAAGACAGGCAGCUGUAUCCGCCGAGGUGGGCCUCCUCGGGCUGGGUCUGCAGCAGGCCCGUCCGCCCCGGCGUCCCUCCUCCCUCCUUCCACGGCCGAGCUCAGAUCCUGGCUUUCCUCACUUCCCCCUAAUCCUGCUCUCCUGUCCCAAGCCAAAACCACCCCACGGCUCCGGCUCUGCCUGGGGCCUCCUCCAUCUCCCGGUCCUCUGCCUAUCAUACUGGACCGCCGUGUUCCUCAUCCUGCCGCCUGCGGCCUCCCGUUUGCUGGGGGCUUGUACAUUCACUCGCCCCCAUUCACUUCUCUCCCUUCGUCUCUCUACACUCUGCCCUCUCGUCCGGCCGUCUCCCUCCUUUGUCCUCUGUCCUGCUCCGUCUCUCUCCCCCUGUCCGCAUGGCCUUUCUUGCAGGGGAGCCUCCACCUCGCCCACCUCAGCCUGCCUUCUUCACUCAGAGUAAGUGGGGCUGCUUCCGAUGCCUUGGCCCCCGCCCC